GGAGUUUGGACCGUGUCUCAGUUCCAAUGUGGGGGACCUUCCUCUCAGAACCCCUACUGAUCGAAGGCUCGGUGGGCCGUUACCCCGCCGACUACCUAAUCAGACGCAUCCCCAUCCUAUAGCGGUAAACCUUUGGUAUUCUUCAGAUGUCCUCUAAAUACAACAUAGAGUAUUAAUCCGACUUUCGCCGGGCUAUCCUCUACUAUAGGGAAGGUUGGAUACGCGUUACUCACCCGUGCGCCGGUCGCCAUCAAAGUUUGCAAGCAAACUUCAUGCUGCCCCUCGACUUGCAUGUGUUAAGCCUGUAGCUAGCGUUCAUC
RNAcentral lists this ribosomal RNA (320 nucleotides) under uncultured Prevotella sp. RNAcentral describes it as "partial 16S ribosomal RNA". Lineage: Bacteria; Pseudomonadati; Bacteroidota; Bacteroidia; Bacteroidales; Prevotellaceae. The record is from RNAcentral.